AUACGGAGGAUGCAAGCGUUAUCCGGAUUUAUUAGGUUUAAAGGGUGUGUAGGCGGGAUUAUAAGUCAGUGGUGAAAGAUUUCAGCUCAACUGGAAAAUUGCCAUUGAAACUGUUUUUCUUGAGUUUGGUUGAGGUAUGCGGAAUGUGUAAUGUAGCAGUGAAAUGCUUAGAUAUUACCCAGAACCCCUAUUGCGAAGGCAGCAUGCUAACCCAUAACUGACGCUGAUGCACGAAAGCGUGGGGAUCAAACAGGAUUAGAUACCCUGGUAGUCCACGCCGUAAACUAUGAUUACUCGCUGUUGGCGAUACACAGUCAGUGGCUUAGCGAAAGCAUUAAGUAAUCCACCUGGGGAGUACGUUCGCAAGAAUGAA
RNAcentral lists this ribosomal RNA (373 nucleotides) under uncultured bacterium. RNAcentral describes it as "bacterial SSU rRNA". It matches the Rfam family "Bacterial small subunit ribosomal RNA", at positions 523 to 898 of the family's 1533-position model. The record is from RNAcentral.